CACGGGGGUUGCGAGCGUUGUCCGGAAUUACUAGGCGUAAAGGGCAGGCAGGCGGAUCCAUAAGUUUAUCGUUUAAGGCGUCGGCUUAACCGGCGUAGGGCGGUAGAUACUGCGGAUCUGGAAUGCGGUUGGGGAAGACAGAAUUCCUGGUGUAGCGGUGGAAUGCGCAGAGAUCAGGAGGAAUACCGAAGGCGAAGGCAGUCUUCCAAGCCGUUAUUGACGCUCAACUGCGAAGGUGUGGGUAUCAAACAGGAUUAGAUACCCUGGUAGUCCCUGA
RNAcentral lists this ribosomal RNA (277 nucleotides) under uncultured prokaryote. RNAcentral's name for it is "partial 16S ribosomal RNA". It matches the Rfam family "Bacterial small subunit ribosomal RNA", at positions 524 to 800 of the family's 1533-position model. The record is from RNAcentral.